ACACACACACACACACUUUGCAUUAGCAGCUCAUGCUUCAGUGCUCUGAGAGACUUUAUAGCUCUGUGACUUUAACACUUCAUGACUGAAAGCUGCUGCUCAGCGACUUCACCCACAGCAACCAUGAGUUUGAUCUUCAUCUUCAUCUGCACACUGGCCCUCUGCACUCGAGGAUCCAGAGGUCAGGUAACUGUGACUCAGAGUCCUGCAGUAAAAUCUGUUUCUCCAGGAGACACGCUCACUAUCAGCUGUAAAACCAAUCCUGAUGUUUACCGCUACAGUGAUGGAGAUGAAGAAAUGCACUGGUAUCAGCAGAAACCUGGAGAAGCUCCUAAACUCCUGAUCUAUUGGGUUAAAAAGUUACAGUCAGGAGUUCCAGCUCGUUUCAGUGGCAGUGGAUCUGGAUCUGAUUUCACUCUGACGAUCAGGGGAGUCCAAACUGAAGAUGCUGGAAAUUAUUACUGUCAGAGUGCACAUGAGAUCAGUGAUAGCUUGGUGUUCACACAGUGUUAGAGAGUCGUACAAAAACCUCAGUGUGUGACUGCUGCCGCUGGGACCUACUGCAGGUGCUGAGAGGGACCAUGUGAUACACCAUCACACACACACACACACACACACAUUAUAUUAAUAAGCUGGCUUUGCUAAAAACACAUUGUGUGUAAUGUUGGAAGCUAACAGAAUUUUUAUUUUACAUUUUAUUUUAGGAGUUACCAUGUACAGGAGGCAAAGUAAAGUGUCUCGAACAGAUCUGUUUCAGUACUGUGAUAAAUUCUAAAUACUGACCGAAGCAUUUUAUGUGCAGCCCCAAAAUGUAUUUUGAGACUCAAAAUAAAAAUGUAUGAAUUUCA
Molecule: non-coding RNA, 848 nt
Organism: Silurus meridionalis
Lineage: Eukaryota; Metazoa; Chordata; Actinopteri; Siluriformes; Siluridae
Source: the annotation of a RefSeq genome assembly